Molecule: ribosomal RNA, 468 nt
Filed under: uncultured bacterium
Lineage: Bacteria
Description: partial 16S ribosomal RNA
Rfam family: Bacterial small subunit ribosomal RNA
Source: RNAcentral
GACGAACGCUGGCGGCGUGCUUAACACAUGCAAGUCGAACGAAAAGGCCCUGCUUUCGUGGGGUGCUCGAGUGGCGAACGGGUGAGUAACACGUGAGUAACCUGCCCUUGAUUUUGGGGUAACUUCAGGAAACUGGGGUUAAUACCGGAUAGGAGCUGCUGCUGCAUGGUGGGGGUUGGAAAGUUUCGGCGGUUGGGGAUGGACUCGCGGCUUAUCAGCUUGUUGGUGGGGUAGUGGCCUACCAAGGCAUUGACGGGUAGCCGGCCUGUGAGGGUGACCGGCCACAUUGGGCCUGAGAUACGGCCCAGACUGCUACGGGAGGCAGCAGUGGGGAAUAUUGCACAAUGGGAGGAAGCCUGAUGCAGAAACGCCGCGUGCGGGAUGACGGCCUUCGGGUUGUAAACCGCUUUCGCCUGUGACGAAGCGUGAGUGACGGUACUGGGUGAAGAAGCACCGGCUAACUACGUG